RNAcentral lists this ribosomal RNA (465 nucleotides) under uncultured bacterium. RNAcentral describes it as "bacterial SSU rRNA". It matches the Rfam family "Bacterial small subunit ribosomal RNA", at positions 338 to 795 of the family's 1533-position model. The record is from RNAcentral.
CCUACGGGUUGCAGCAGUAGGGAAUCUUCCGCAAUGGACGAAAGUCUGACGGAGCAACGCCGCGUGAGCGAUGAAGGCCUUCGGGUCGUAAAGCUCUGUUGUUAGGGAAGAACAAGUACCGGAGUAACUGCCGGUACCUUGACGGUACCUAACCAGAAAGCCACGGCUAACUACGUGCCAGCAGCCGCGGUAAUACGUAGGUGGCAAGCGUUGUCCGGAAUUAUUGGGCGCAAAGCGCGCGCAGGCGGUCCUUUAAGUCUGAUGUGAAAGCCCACGGCUCAACCGUGGAGGGUCAUUGGAAACUGGGGGACUUGAGUGCAGAAGAGGAGAGUGGAAUUCCACGUGUAGCGGUGAAAUGCGUAGAGAUGUGGAGGAACACCAGUGGCGAAGGCGACUCUCUGGUCUGUAACUGACGCUGAGGCGCGAAAGCGUGGGGAGCGAACAGGAUUAGAUACCCCGGUAGUC